AAUUUUCCUAGCANUCGAACGGUAACGCGGGGAGAAGCUUGCUUCUCUCCGGCGACGAGUGGUGAACGGGUGAGUCCUUUUUCGGAACGUGUCCGCUCGUGGGGGACACCAGCCGAACGGUUGGCUAAUACCGCAUGAGUUCUACGGAAGAAAGAGGGGGACCCGCAAGGGCCUCUCGCGAGCGGAGCGGCCGAUGACUGAUUAGCCGGUUGGUGAGGUAACGGCUCACCAAAGCAACGAUCAGUAGCUGGUCUGAGAGGACGACCAGCCACACUGGGACUGAGACACGGCCCAGACUCCUACGGGAGGCAGCAGUGGGGAAUUUUGGACAAUGGGCGCAAGCCUGAUCCAGCUAUUCCGCGUGUGGGAUGAAGGCCCUCGGGUUGUAAACCACUUUUGUAGAGAACGAAAAGACACCUUCGAAUAAAGGGUGUUGCUGACGGUACUCUAAGAAUAAGCACCGGCUAACUACGUGCCAGCAGCCGCGGCAAUACGUAGGGUGCGAGCGUUAAUCGGAAUUACUGGGCGUAAAGGGUGCGCAGGCGGUUGAGUAAGACAGAUGUGAAAUCCCCGAGCUUAACUCGGGAAUGGCAUAUGUGACUGCUCGACUAGAGUGUGUCAUAGGGAGGUGGAAUUCCACGUGUAGCAAUGAAAUGCGUAGAUAUGUGGAAGAACACCGAUGGCGAACGCAGCCUCCUGGGACAUGACUGACGCUCACGCACGAAAGCGUGGGGAGCAAAAGGGAUUACA
Molecule: ribosomal RNA, 750 nt
Filed under: uncultured bacterium
Lineage: Bacteria
Description: bacterial SSU rRNA
Rfam family: Bacterial small subunit ribosomal RNA
Source: RNAcentral